GAGGGUGCAAGCGUUAUCCGGAUUCACUGGGUUUAAAGGGUGCGUAGGCGGGCAGGUAAGUCAGUGGUGAAAUCCUGGAGCUCAACUCCAGAACUGCCAUUGAUACUAUCUGUCUUGAAUAUUGUGGAGGUAAGCGGAAUAUGUCAUGUAGCGGUGAAAUGCUUAGAUAUGACAUAGAACACCCAUUGCGAAGGCAGCUUACUACGCAUAUAUUGACGCUGAGGCACGAAAGCGUGGGGAUCAAACAGGAUUAGAUACCCUGGUAGUCCACGCCCUAAACGAUGGAUACUCGACAUACGCGAUACACUGUGUGUGUCUGAGCGAAAGCAUUAAGUAUCCCACCUGGGAAGUACGUUCGCAAGAAU
Molecule: ribosomal RNA, 365 nt
Filed under: uncultured bacterium
Lineage: Bacteria
Description: bacterial SSU rRNA
Rfam family: Bacterial small subunit ribosomal RNA
Source: RNAcentral